GGCUGGCAUCCCCGAGUCCACUGUUUCGGGGAUUUUCAGGGAUCAGCUCUGUGUUUUUAAUCCCUUCCUCGAGUGGAUUCUCGCAAACGAACGAAAAACCCCACCCCGUUGCAGGUGUGAUGCUGGUGUCCUCAGUUUUUAGGGUGGCGCUGCCCUGUGGGUGGCGGGGCUGAGCGAGGUGGGGGCCGGAGGCCCUGGAACCAGCAAGAAACAGCACCAGGGAGUGACAUCGCUGCAGCUGGGGGGCUUCUGCCCCAGACAGAGGGCUGGCAAGAAGGUGGCGAACCGCAGAGUCGAGAACCCGAAGCCCCUUCCCCGGCCUCCCCUCCUCCGCAGCCCGCAGCUGAUGGGGGGGCCCGGGGCGAAGAGCAAGCGAGGGGCAAGCGCGCCUUGGGCCAAGCACUAAUUUGGCGCGUCGAUACGAUCUCUUCUGUCCUAUCUAGACACGAUCCGUUCUUUUGUGAUCGGGACGACAAGAUCU
Long non-coding RNA from Pogoniulus pusillus (Red-fronted tinkerbird), 481 nucleotides. RefSeq lists it as uncharacterized. The transcript has 3 exons. Lineage: Eukaryota; Metazoa; Chordata; Aves; Piciformes; Lybiidae. The record is from RefSeq and is a predicted model, not a curated record.